AACAGGAUUAGAUACCCUGGUAGUCCACGCUGUAAACGAUGUCGACUUGGAGGUUGUUCCCUUGAGGAGUGGCUUCCGGAGCUAACGCGUUAAGUCGACCGCCUGGGGAGUACGGCCGCAAGGUUAAAACUCAAAUGAAUUGACGGGGGCCCGCACAAGCGGUGGAGCAUGUGGUUUAAUUCGAUGCAACGCGAAGAACCUUACCUACUCUUGACAUCCAGAGAACUUAGCAGAGAUGCUUUGGUGCCUUCGGGAACUCUGAGACAGGUGCUGCAUGGCUGUCGUCAGCUCGUGUUGUGAAAUGUUGGGUUAAGUCCCGCAACGAGCGCAACCCUUAUCCUUUGUUGCCAGCGGUCCGGCCGGGAACUCAAAGGAGACUGCCAGUGAUAAACUGGAGGAAGGUGGGGAUGACGUCAAGUCAUCAUGGCCCUUACGAGUAGGGCUACACACGUGCUACAAUGGCAUAUACAAAGAGAAGCGACCUCGCGAGAGCAAGCGGACCUCAUAAAGUAUGUCGUAGUCCGGAUUGGAGUCUGCAACUCGACUCCAUGAAGUCGGGAUCGCUAGUAAUCGUGGAUCAGAAUGCCACGGUGGAUACGUUCCCGGGCCUUGUACACACCGCCCGUCACACCUUGGGAGUGGGUCGCAAAAGAAGUAGGUAGCUUAACCUUCGGGAGGGCGCUUACCACUUUGUGAUUCAUGACUGGGGUGAAGUCGUAACAAGGUAACC
This 730-nucleotide ribosomal RNA is filed under the name uncultured bacterium. Its description in RNAcentral is "bacterial SSU rRNA". It matches the Rfam family "Bacterial small subunit ribosomal RNA", at positions 771 to 1501 of the family's 1533-position model. The record is from RNAcentral.